CUAUACAUGACUCUGCCGCAUAUCAAUAAGCGGAGGAAAAGAAACUAACAAGGAUUCCCUUAGUAACAGGCGAGUGAAGCGGGAAGAGCUCAAAUUUGAAAUCUUCAAGGGUUUACCUUUACGAAUUGUAGUUUAAAGAAGUGUUUUCUGCUGAGGUUUUGGUAAAAGUUCUUUGGAAUAGGACAUCAUAGAGGGUGAGAAUCCCGUAUUUGACCAUUAUUUUCAGCUUUGUGAUACACUUUCAAAGAGUCGGAUUGUUUGGGAAUGCAGUCCAAAAUGGGUGGUAAAUUUCAUCUAAAGCUAAAUAUUGGCGAGAGACCGAUAGCGAACAAGUACCGUGAGGGAAAGAUGAAAAGAACUUUGAAAAGAGAGUUAAACAGUACGUGAAAUUGUCAAAAGGGAAGCGUUUGACACCAGUGUUGUUUUCUCGAAAAUCAAUUAAAAAUGGCUCGAUUUUGUAUUGUUGAGACCUUAAAAGCUCACUGUACAUUUUUCGUGUCUUUUUUAAUGCACUUUUCGUUUAACAAGUCAACAUCAAGUUUCUUUUGUUGUAAAAGGGUCAUUGGAAGGUGGCUUUCUUUUCGGAGAAAGUGUUUAUAGCCUUUGGCCUCUGCAAUCGGAGAGACUGAGGUCUGCAGCGUAGACUCUUCGGGGUUAGAUACAUUUGUGCUAAGUUAUAGCUUUUUAUAGACAACUUGUUGACUAUAAUUAGUCUUGUAGCUUACUCGCUUAUGCUAUUUUACCUACGCUUAGGAUGUUGACAGCAGUAUAGACUGU
This 777-nucleotide ribosomal RNA is filed under the name uncultured Neocallimastigales. Its description in RNAcentral is "partial large subunit ribosomal RNA". It matches the Rfam family "Eukaryotic large subunit ribosomal RNA", at positions 28 to 632 of the family's 3401-position model. The record is from RNAcentral. Lineage: Eukaryota; Fungi; Neocallimastigomycota; Neocallimastigomycetes; Neocallimastigales.